Molecule: ribosomal RNA, 253 nt
Filed under: uncultured bacterium
Lineage: Bacteria
Description: partial 16S ribosomal RNA
Rfam family: Bacterial small subunit ribosomal RNA
Source: RNAcentral
CACGUAGGGUGCGAGCGUUGUCCGGAAUUAUUGGGCGUAAAGAGCUCGUAGGCGGUGUGUCGCGUCGGCCGUGAAAACCUGCAGCUUAACUGUGGGCGUGCGGGCGAUACGGGCAGACUGGAGUACUGCAGGGGAGACUGGAAUUCCUGGUGUAGCGGUGAAAUGCGCAGAUAUCAGGAGGAACACCGGUGGCGAAGGCGGGUCUCUGGGCCGAUACUGACGCUGAGGAGCGAAAGCGUGGGGAGCGAACAGG